AUGGUCAUGACAUGUUGAGACACCAGUUCUCAUUUGAUCACCAAAGUUAAGCAACAUCAAGACAGGUCAGUAUCUAGAUGGGUAACCACUUGUGAAUACCAGGUGCUGUAAG
Non-coding RNA from Acanthosepion pharaonis, 112 nucleotides. The record is from the annotation of a GenBank genome assembly. NCBI's taxonomy places the organism in Eukaryota, Metazoa, Mollusca, Cephalopoda, Sepiida, Sepiidae.